This 1473-nucleotide long non-coding RNA is filed under the name Dromaius novaehollandiae (emu). RNAcentral's name for it is "lncRNA (ENSDNVG00000015786.1)". Lineage: Eukaryota; Metazoa; Chordata; Aves; Casuariiformes; Dromaiidae. The record is from RNAcentral.
UUUGGCAUCAGCCUGCAAACAGCUGAGAAGCACAAGAAGUGCUGCUGCCUGCUCUUCAGACGUCUGAACUCACCCAGCUUAAAUAUCGAUCACCCCAAAUGCUGGGCUCCAGCAAGCCAUUGUGGAAUUCCCAGGAUUUUCCAACUCAGAAAAAAUCUGAAGAAAGGCAAAAGAGGACAAAUCUGAAAGAACCAAGAAGGAUUAAAGGAUCACUUCCCCGUGACUGUGAAAUGUCCAGAUUCUCCAGGCAUGGUUGUUACCCAGCUUUCCAGUCUGAAAACCCUGCCCCUUCUGGACUUCCUUUUAGAAGCUUAGGUUUUGGAUUGACCACGUUGUCCAUUGUCCCUUGGGAACUUUCAAUAGUCUGCAUCCAGCCUGCACUGGUUCUGGGAUUUUGCUUUCUGCAACAUGCAGAAGCAGUCUGUCGGAGAAGGAAGCUACUUAGCCUAGGCUUGUCAGCAAGGAUCUUUUGACCUUCCUGCUAUGUGGGCCAGGUGCCCAAAUGUCACUGCAUCUUUGUUCUCACACCUGAUUAUCAACUCAUCCAAGGUUCCUUGCGAAGAUACCAGCAUGCCUUUGUUGACUGCAGUGCUUACACUGCACAGAUGUUUAAGACACUGCAUCCAGCAGCGCAUUACACCCCAUCAUAAACUAUCUUGAGCCAGAUAUGAAAUACAAACAGUGAUCAUUAGCACAUGCCUCCAAGUUCCUCAGGUUUUUUUAUUCUAUCACAGGUCUCUCAUCUAUGUAAUCUGAUUUGAUUUAAAAGAAAUUGUCCUGUAAAUUAACCGGAGAACAACUGAUAGGGUAAACUAGCAUAUGGUCUCAGAACCACUAUUUCCACACAAGGAGAAUAGCCUCAUCCUCAUUCUUCCCUAGAUACAAAGCUAGUGAUUUGGUGACAUAUGACAUCCAGUUUCUUAAAGUUUAUCACUCUUUCUUGAUACUUGUUGCUGAAAACCUCUCUUAAGUACUAGCACAAUACCUAUCAGUGUAUUCAUAGCUUCAUAUAGCUUCAUCCCCGCUUCUUUCUGUAUGCAAACUCUACCACUUGCAUCUUUUGCACAAUGCUUAAAAGCAUCUUCUAGAAAAGGUUUGGGGGCAAUUAUAUGCUGACCAGAUCAGUCACCCAAAUACAAGUGACACUCAAAUUUCUUGCUAUUGGCACCGGUCCCUCCAAUGCACCCAGGCCUCUUUAUGUUUGCUUACUGGAUCAUGCUAUCAAUGAAAACUAAACACCUGAUAGCAAGCUGAUAGAACUGUUACUGAAAUGAGUCUGUAACAUGCAAGGUCAAGUAGUGGCAUCCCUCUCCAUGGCUGCACUGAAAUAUUCCACAGUACUGAGAGUUUGGAGGUAGAGCUAACCUAGCCCAGUGUAAUAACGUGUUAAGAGCUGAUGUGCAAAUAUUUAUGGUGUCUAUGUAGAACUGUUACUAAGGUGGAAAGACACGUAUAAACAAUUAUCUAUCCACU